RNAcentral lists this long non-coding RNA (8634 nucleotides) under Nicotiana tabacum (common tobacco). Its description in RNAcentral is "long non-coding RNA (NTAB_LNC015032)". The record is from RNAcentral. Lineage: Eukaryota; Viridiplantae; Streptophyta; Magnoliopsida; Solanales; Solanaceae.
GUGUGGAGGCAAAUUUUAGGGGAAAAGCUAUUUUCAAGGGUUGAUUUGACCUAGUUGAGGUAUGUAUCUUGCCUAGCUUUAUGUGGGGGAACUACCCCUUAGGAUUUGGGUUGUUGUGUAUUAAUCAUACUAUGUGUAAAAUGUGUACACAAGGUGACGAGUGUGUAUACGGGUUAUAUGUGGUAUUUUGACCGGUUUAGACUUUUUGACUUUUUUCAUGCAUUUAAUUAAAUUUUUUAUAACAUGUUAUAUCCUUCAUUGUUAAAUUUACUCUCACAUGCUCUAAUUGACAUUGUUAGUGUUUAUUCUAUCCUUUUUUGUUGUAAGUGCUCUCAUAUGCUUUAGUUGAAGUUACUACCUCUCUUCUUGUCUUGUUACUCCUUUAUUAUUAAAUUAUUGAAGUUGUUAUUUCGUGGAAUAUCUUCUUGUUAGGUUAUUGAUGUUGAAGUUAUGGAAGCCAUUAUAACAUUAAGGUUGAAGUUGUAAAUUGUUCAGAUAUCUUUCCUUUGAGUGUCCCUCAUUCAUUUGUUGUUAUUGAGAUUUUUGUACACACUGUGGUUGAGCCAUGGGCUAUUUGUUGUGGUAAUAUUGGUAUUGUUGAUUUUGGCAAGUUGUGGCAUAUGGGCACAUGUAGUGCGAGUUGUUAUUAUGUUGUGGUAUUGAUACGCAUGCGGUGGUACAAGGAUAGGGGUUGAUAUGCAUGCGGUGAGAUAAGGUGAGAUUUAUACGUGUGUUGCUAGUAAGGGAAUUACUUAAAGCCACGUGGUGAGAUAAUGGGGCUAAAAAGUGUGUAGCUAUUUCGGGAAAGGAGUUUUCAAAAAUAAAUGCAAGGCUUAUGCGGUGAUAUAAGUAAAGGUUGUGAUUUUAAAUUGGGAAAUGUGGAAAUGAGGCGGUACCUCGGUUGUGAUUCUUGUUGUGCAUUCUAUGUUAAAGAGGCUUGUUGGUUCAACAGUUUGUUAUCUCUUUAUUUGUCUUACUUGUACUUGUCAUAUUGAUUUCUUGAUGUUCUUAUCAUGUGCUCACUCAUUUUUGCCUUUAUUUCUUUAAAUUCCGUUGUUAGCUUACAUUAUUGAUCUGCUUUAUUGUCAUUUUUUUCCUCCUCGUCCAUUAUUUGCUUGUACUUUACCUUGUUUAGUCUCUUAUCCUAGUAGGUGUCUUGACUUAGUCUCUCACUUCUCUACCGAGGUUAGGCUUGAUUCUUACUGGGUACCAUUGAGGUGUACUCAUACUACGCUUCUGCACAUUUUUGUGCAGAUCCAGGUACUUCACCUCAUGCUAGGCAUCAGUUAUUUGACCAUACAUUUCAAAGACUUCAAGGUAUAGCAGCUUUGCGCUUGCAGGCCUCGGAGUCACCUUUUGUCCUUACUUUUACUACUGUUUACUCUUCAUUUAGAUAGUAUUGUACUAGGGAUUUUCAGUAUAUCUUCAUAGAACUUAUGACUCAGUUCCACCGGUUUUGGGAGUUUUGUUACAGAUGUUUUGUUUGGAGUUAUUGUGAGUUUUAUCGAUUUAUCUUUUUAUCUUAGUUGUUAAUUCUGUUAAGAUAUCAAUAAAUGUUAGGCUUACCUAGUCUUAGAGACUAGGUGCCAUCAAAACAUCCUAAGGUGGGAAAUUGGGGUCGUGACAAGUUGGUGUUAGAGCUCUUGGUUCAUAGGUCCUACGAGUCAUAAGCAAGUCUAGUAGAGUUUUAUGGAUCGGUAUGGAGACAUCUGUACUUAUCUUCGAGAGGUUACAGAACUAUUAGAAAAUUCCACUCCUUUGAUUCUUUAUCGUGCAAAUUUGUUGACUUUGAAAUCUGAAUCUUUAUCUUUCUAUUCUCUCACAGAUGGUGAGGACACACACUACUGGAUCAGAAAAUCAGACACUUACACCUCCUGCUAGAGUCGCGCGAGGUUGGGGCCGGUGUAGAGGCUGAGGAGGGGCAUGUGUUGCAGCCAGAGCACCUGUCCGAGCAGCGACUGAUGAGCCACCAAUAGCUCCAGUUGGGGGACAGUCACCUGAGACACUUGUUGUUGCCCCUGGACUUUAGGAGACCCUAGCAUAGUUUUUGAACAUGUUCGAAACUCUAGCUCAGGCGGGAUUGAUUCCCAUUGCACCAGCCACAUCUCAGGCUAGGGAAGGAGCUCAAACUCCUGUGACUCAUACCCUAGGGCCUGAGGUUCUGGGUCCACAUUGAUUAGGUUCUGGGUGUCAUGCCAGAACAACUCGUUAUACCAGUUCGGCCUGAGGUUAGGCGAGAGGCAUCUAAGGAGGAGUAGAGAAGAAUUGAGAGGUUCAAGAAGUAUGAUCCUCCUAUAUUCAAUGGCACAGCUAGCGACGUUGCUUUGGGUUUUCUAGAGAGGUGUCAUUGUAUUCUCCGCACCGUGGGCAUUGUGGAGAUGAGUGGAGUUGCUUUUACUAUAUUUUAGUUGUUAGGAGCAGUGUAUUGGUGGUGACAAUCUUAUGAGGAGGGUAGGCCAGCUGAUGCAGACCCACUGGCUUGGGAUCAGUUUUCAGAGAUAUUUUUGAGAGAGUUUGUUCCCCUAAUCCUUCGUGAUGAAUGGCGCACAGAGUUUGAGCAGCUGCUUCAGGGGACUAUCAGAGCAUGCUAUCAGGUUCAGUGAGUUUUCUCGACAUGCACCUACCUUGGUUUCUACAGUUAGAGAGCAACUCCGCAGAUUUAUCGAGGUGCUCAACUAUGGUCUUAGAUUCAAUAUGGCUCGAGAGUUGGAGACGGAUACACUGUAUCACAGGUGUUAGAGAUUACACAUAGGUUGGAAGGUAUGCGAGGUCGUGAGAGAGAGGACAGGGAGGCUAUGAGGCCUCGCGAUUCAGGAGGAUAUAGUGGUGCCCGCACUCUAGUUGCAAAUCGUCAUGGCAGAGGCUAUGUGCGCCACCCAUUUUAUUUAGCACUUCUAGCUACUAGCAGUGCUCCUGCUAUUCCAAGGUCCCAAGUUGCCUAUUUUGCUCAGUUACUUUCUAAUGCACCUCUUGAAUGGGAUGCCUUCAGUGGUGAGUCUAGCCGACCAGGCCAAGGUUAGUUUCAGUAGCCACACCCACCGAGAGCGUUUUUUGAGUGUUGUGAUACCAAACAUUGGUGAGGGACUACCCCAGACUUUGGAGGGGUGUAUCUCCACAGACUACAUAGUUUCCACGGAUUCCACAGGGCCUACAAGGUUCGCAGGUCAUAGUUGUUGCUCAAGUUGCCAUUCCACCUGCCCUACAAGCUAGGGGUGAAGGUCAGGCGGGUAAAGGUUGCCCUAGAGGGGGAGGCCAGGCUCGUUUCUAUGCUUUUAUCGAUAGAUCAGAGGUGGUUGCAUCGGAUGUUGUCAUCACACGUAUGGUUUUGGUUUGUCAUAGGGAUGCCUCAGUCUUAUUUGAUCCGGGAUCCGCUUAUCCGUAUGUGUCAUCUUACUUUGCUCCAUAUUUCUCAUGAUUCUUUGAGUUCUCCUAUAUAUGAGUCUAUGCAUAUGGGAGAUUCUAUGGUUGUGGACCGUGUUUAUCGAUCAUGCUUAUUCGAUGUAGGUGGUUUUGAGACCAGAGUUGAUUUAUUAUUACUCAAUAUGGUAGUCUUUGAUAUGAUCUUGUGCAUGGAUUUGUUUUCACCCUAUCAUGCUAUUUUGGAUUGCCACGCCAAGACCGUGACAUUAGCUAUGCCAGGUUUGCCGCGGUUGGAGUGGAGGGGCAUAUUGGAUUAUAUUCCUAGCAAGGUUGUGUCAUUCCUUAAGGAACAGCGGAUGGUUGAGAAGGGUUGUAAAGCAUAUCUAUCCUUUGUAAGGGAUGUUAGUGCUGAUACUCCUACCAUUUAGUCGGUUCCGGUAGUGAGGGAUUUCCCAGAUGUGUUCCCAGCAGACCUUCCGGACAUGCCACGUGAUAGAGCUAUCGAUUUUUGUAUUGACCUAGUGUCGGACACUCAGCCCAUUUUUAUUCCAUCAUAUCGUAUGGCACCAACGGAGUUGAAGGAGUUAAAGGAACAACUAUAAGAGUUUCUUGAUAAGGGUUUCAUUUGGCCUAGUGUUUCACCUUGGGUGUUCCAACUCUGUUUGUGAAUAAGAAGGAUGGUACUAUGCGGAUGUGUAUUGGUUAUAGACAGUUGAACAAGGUUACAGUGAAGAACAAAUACUCACUACCAUGCAUUGAUGACUUAUUUGCCCGGCUUCAGGGUGCCACUGUUCUCGAAGAUUGAUUUGCAAUCAGGGUAUCAUCAGCUGAAGAUUAAGGAUUCGGAUAUUCCGAAGACUGCUUUCAGGACUCGGUAUGGUCACUACAAGUUCCUCGUGAUGUCAUUUGGGCCGACCAAUGCCCCAACAACAUUUAUGCACCUGAUAAACAGUGUAUUCCAGCCAUAUCUUGACUCAUUCAUCAUUGUGUUUAUUGACAACAUCUUAGUAUAUUCUCACAACUGAGAAGACCAUGAGCAGUAUCUAAGGAUCCUGCCCCAGACCUUGAGGAAGAAGAAGUUAUAAGCAAAACUCUCUAAGUGUGAAUUCUGGCUUGAUUCGGUGGCAUUUUUGGGUCAUAUGGUGUCUAGUGAGGGGAUCAAAGUAGAUCCAAAGAAGAUUGAGGCAGUUCAGAGUUGGCCUAAACCAUCUUCAUCUACUGAGAUUCAGAGAUUCCUUGGUUUGGCUGGACAUUUUCGCCAUUUUGUAGAGGGUUUCUCAUCAAUUUUUGCACCUUUAACCAGAUUGACCCAGAAGGCUGCUCCUUUCAGAUGGUCUGAGGAGUAUGAGGCGAGCUUUCAAAAGUUCAAGACUGCAUUGACUACAGCCCCAAUAUUGGUGUUGCCUACGGGUUUGGGGUCUUACACUGUGUAUUAUGAUGCGUCAUGUAUCAGACUUGGCGCGAUACUGAUGCAAGACGGUAGGGUGAUUGCCUAUGCGUCUCGGCAGUUGAAGGUUCAUGAGAAGAAUUACCCAGUCCAUGACUUGGAAUUGACAACUAUUGUUCACGCAUUGAAGAUUUGGAGGCAUUAUCUGUAGGGUUUCCCAUGUGAGGUCUAUACCGACCACCGGAGUCUCCAACAUCUAUUCAAGGAGAAAGAUCUUAAUUUGCAGCGGCUGAGGUGGUUAGAGUUGCUGAAAGACUAUGAUAUCAUUAUUUUAUAUCAUCCCUGGAAGGAUAAUGUGGUGUUCGAUGCCUUGAGUAGAAAGGAAGAGAGCAUGGGUAGUUUGGCAUACUUAUCGGCCAUAGAGAGGCCACAACCCAUGGAUGUUCACUCUUUGGCCAAUCAGUUUGUGAGACUGGAUGUUUCGGAGCCCAACCAGGUUCUUUCUUGUGUGGUUUCUCGGUCUUCUAUAUAUGAGUGCAUCAUAGAGCGUCAGUAUGAUGACCCCCAUUUGCUUGUCCUUAUGGACACAUUACAGUACGGCGAUGCCAAGGAUGUUUCUAUUAGAGAUGGCAAGGUAUUGCAGAUGCAGGGUCGGAUUUGUGUGCCCAAUGUGGAUGGGGUGAGUGAGUUGAUUCUUGAGGAGGCCCACCGCUUGUGGUAUUCUAUUCAUCCAGGUGUCAUUAAGAUGUAUCAGGAUUUGAGGUAGCAUUAUUGGUGGAGAAGAAUGAAGAAAGAUAUAGUGGAGUUUGUGGCUCGGUGCUUGAACUAUCAGCAGUUGAAGUAUGAGCAUUAGAGGUCGGGCGGUUUGCUUUAGAGACUUGAGAUUCCCAAGUGGAAGUGGGAGCGUAUUACUAAGGAAUUCAUUGUUGGACUCCUACCUACUUUGAAGAAAUUUGAUGCAGUAUGGGUGAUUGUGGAUAGACUGACCAAGUCGGCACAUUUCAAUCCAGUGGUGACCACCUAUUCUUCAGAGCAGCUAGCUCAGAUCCACAUCCAAGAGAUUGUAUGUCUCCAUGGCAUACCAAUGUCCAUAAUCUCCGAUCGAGGUACACAGUUCACGUCACAUUUUUAGAGAGCCGUGCAAGGUGAGCUACGCACACGGGUUGAGUUUAGUACAUCAUUUCACUCCUAGACGGACGGACAGUCUGAGCACACCAUUCAAAUCUUGGAGGAUAUGCUACAAGCUUGCGUUAUGGAUUUCAGGGGUUCUUAGGAUCAAUUCUUGCCGCUUGCAGAAUUUUCCUACAAAAACAUCUACCAAUUGAGUAUUCAGAUGGCUCCUUAUGAGGUUUUAUAUGGGAAGCAAUGUCGUUCUCCAGUUGGUUGGUUUAACCUGGGAGAGGCUAGGUUAUUGGUCACUGAUUUGGUUCGGGAUGCCUUGGAGAAAGUCAAGUUAAUUCCGGAUCGACUUCGUACAACGCAUUCUAGAUAGAAGAAUUAUGCUGAUCGAGGGCUCGUGAUGCAGCAUUUAUGGUGGGAGAGAGGGUUUUGCUUCGGGUUUCACCCAUGAAGGGUGUGCUGAGGUUAGGGAAGAAGUGCAAGUUGAGUCCUAGGUAUAUUGGCCGUUGGAGAUCCUUGAGAGAGUUGGUGAGGUGGACUACAAGCUUGCAUUGCCACCCAAUUUAUCGACAGUUCAUCCGGUGUUCCAUGUUUCCUUGCUCGGGAAGUAUUAUGGUGAUCUGUCCUAUGUAUUAGAUUUUAUCUCAGUCCAAUUGGACAAGGAUUUGACUUAUAUUGAGGAGCCGGUGGCCAUCUUGGACCGACGGGUCUGAAAAAUAAGGUCAAAGAACAUUGCUUCGGUAAAGGUUCAAUGGAGGGGUCAUAUGCUCGAGGAGGUGACCUGGGAGACCAUGCACGACAUGCGGAGUUAUUAUCCUCUCCUUUUCACCACUUCAGGUAUGUCACUAUGCACUUUCAAGGACGGACAUUUGUUGUAAGAGGAGGAGAAUGUAAUAACCCGGCCAGUGGUUUUGAUUAUUGAGCCCCAUUUCCCCUUUUGGUGCUUCACACGUGCAUUUGUGGUUUUAUCACUUGCGGGGUUGGUUAAUUUCGUUCCGGGAAGAUUUUAGGUUUAUUUGGACCUUUGGUUCUUGGCUUAGAAGUCUAAGUUAGAAAUAUUGACAAAAGGUUAGCUUUUGUGAAAACAACCCUGGACCGGUGUUUUGAUGGUUCCAAUAUAUUUGUAUCAUGAUUUGGGACUUGGGCGUAUGCCCGGAAUCGAAUUCGGAGGUCCGUAGGUUGAUUUGUUUUAUUUUCCUGAAAAAUUGGCAAUUUGAGGUUUUGAAGAAUUUCUAAGUUUGACCAUAGGUUGACUUUUGGCUAUGAGGUUCGGAAUUCGGUUUUGGGACUUGGAAUAGGUCUGUUAUGCUAUUUAGAUAUUGUCUGCAAUAUUUGGUGUCAUUUGGAUUUGGUUUGAUAUGAUUCGGACACUUAGUUGCAAUUCUAGAGAUUUUUGAACGUUUCUUUGAAAUUCAUGCAUUUUGAUGUUUGAUUCGUAGUUCUAGAUGUUAUUUGUAUGUUUUGAUCGUGCGAGCGAAUUCGUAUGAUGUUUUUAUACUCUUUUGGAUGUUUAGUAUGGAGCCCCAAGGGGGCUCGGAUGAGUUUCGAACCUAUUUCAUAAAGGUUUGGACAGAAACAAGAUUUUCUGGUGUGUUGGUGCUCUGAUGUUGCAAUUGCGAGCACCAGCCUCAUAAUUGUGAAGUGGGCAGGGGAGCUCAGAUGUCGCAAAUGCGGCUUUCCCUUCACAUUUGCGAAUACAGUACAUGCUUGGGUUAGGUCUCAUUUGCGACCAAUUGGUCGCUUUUGCGAAGAAAGUCAGCUUUUCAAUUGCGAAGCCUUUGUCGCAAUUGCGAUAUCUAAAGAGGCUGCCAGGGUUUGCAAUUGCGAUCCCUAUUUCAAAAUUACGAAGGUUUGCAAACACGAACUCAAGGUCGCAUUGCUAUAUCAGCAGCUGAUCAAAACGGUUGGGAGUCAAGAUUUAGGUCUCAUUUUUCAUAUCUUAGAACCCUAAACUCGGUAAGUGGCGAUUUGGAGAGAGAAUUUUCAUCUCAAAAUAUUAGGUAAGUGAUUCUAAGCACUUUCCAACUAUAUUUCAUGAUUAUAUCAUAAAUUUAACAUCAAAUUUAUGAAAAUCAAAGAGGAAAAUUAAGGAUUUUUAUCAAAGCUUUGAAAAAUGAAGAUUUGAAUUUUGAGAGUCGAUUAAAAGAGGCUUGUUGGUUGAACAGUUCGUUAUCUCUUUAUGUGUUUUACUUGUAUUUGUCCGUAUUGAUUUCUUGAUGUUCUUAUCAUGUGUUCACUCUUUGUUGCAUUUAUUGCUUUAAAUUCUGUUGUUAUCUUACACUAUUGAACUAUUUUAUUGUCAUUUAUUUCCUCGUCUUCCAUUAUUUUCUUGUACUUUACCUUGUUCGGUCUCUCUUAUCCUAGUAGGUGUCUUGACCUGACCUCGUCACUACUCUACUAAGGUUAGGCUUGAUACUUACUAGGUACCAUUAUGGUGUACUCAUACUAUACUUUUGCAUAUUUUUGUGCAGAUCCAUGUACUUCGGCUCAGGCUAGGAAUCAUCGAUUUGACCAUAUAUUUCGGAGAUUUCAAGAUAUAACUGCUUGGUGCUUGCAGGCCUCAGAGUCACCUUCUGUCCUUACUUUUACUACUAUUUGCUUUUCAUUUAGACGGUGUUGUACUAGGGAUUUUCAGUAUAUUUCUGUACAACUUAUGACUCAGUUCCACCGGUUUUAUGAAUUUUGUUACAGAUAUUCUGUUUUGGAGUAAUUAUGAGUUUUAUCGAUUUAUCUUAUUAUCUUAGUUUCUAAUGUGGGAAAUUGGGUCA